This is a long non-coding RNA of Phasianus colchicus (ring-necked pheasant), 451 nucleotides long. RefSeq lists it as uncharacterized. The record is from RefSeq and is a predicted model, not a curated record. Lineage: Eukaryota; Metazoa; Chordata; Aves; Galliformes; Phasianidae.
GUGGCAUCUAACUGGUGCAUGUGAAGGAAAAUCCUGGUUCCCUCAAUGCCAGUGCUCUGUUUGGAUGCCAGCAGGAGACUCGCAUAUGUCAGCUGCAGCUGGAAACGGAAUGAUGAGCUACAGAAACCUUUGCAAUGCCAGGCAGUGAUGUUCCUGUGUGACCCUUUCAACAUGCUGCAGGGAGCACACGUACCAUGGCCCUGGAUUCAACCUCAGCACAAUGGACUGAUUUAAAACUGCCAUUUUCUAGUAGAAAGUUCAACCUGGAGACUGCCUGACCACGCUGGGAUCUGCAGAGAAGUGUAGCACAGCAGGCUCUCCCUCCUCUCAAUCUGCAAGGGAGUACACCCUGUCCUGCUCCACAGAAAUCAAGAAAGAACCUGUCCAGCAUGGGAACUUAAAGUUCAUAAAUAAAGCUCUGAGGCAGGGAUGGCCCUACCCUUGCUUCCUG